GAUGAACGCUAGCUACAGGCUUAACACAUGCAAGUCGAGGGGUAACGAGAGGAAAGCUUGCUUUCCUUGUCGACGACCGGCGCACGGGUGAGUAACGCGUAUCCAACCUGCCCCCAACUAGGGAAUAACCUUGCGAAAGUAAGACUAAUACCCUAUAAUUUCCUCAGAUGUCAUCUGACGAGGAAUAAAGAUUUAUCGGUUGUGGAUGGGGAAGCGUCUGAUUAGCUUGUUGGCGGGGGAACGGCCCACCAAGGCAACGAUCAGUAGGGGUUCUGAGAGGAAGGUCACCCACAUUGGAACUGAGACACGGUCCAAACUCCUACGGGAGGCAGCAGUGAGGAAUAUUGGUCAAUGGGCGGAAGCCUGAACCAGCCAAGUAGCGUGCAGGAUGACGGCCCUAUGGGUUGUAAACUGCUUUUAUACAGGAAUAAAGUUAGCCACGUGUGGUUAUUUGUAGGUACUGUAUGAAUAAGGACCGGCUAAUUCCGUGCCAGCAGCCGCGGUAA
Molecule: ribosomal RNA, 506 nt
Filed under: uncultured bacterium
Lineage: Bacteria
Description: partial 16S ribosomal RNA
Rfam family: Bacterial small subunit ribosomal RNA
Source: RNAcentral